CGGACGGGUGAGUAACGCGUGGGUAACCUGCCUCAUACAGGGGGAUAACAGUUAGAAAUGGCUGCUAAUACCGCAUAAGACCACAGUACUGCAUGGUACAGUGGUAAAAACUCCGGUGGUAUGAGAUGGACCCGCGUCUGAUUAGGUAGUUGGUGAGGUAACGGCUCACCAAGCCGACGAUCAGUAGCCGACCUGAGAGGGUGACCGGCCACAUUGGGACUGAGACACGGCCCAG
RNAcentral lists this ribosomal RNA (235 nucleotides) under uncultured bacterium. RNAcentral describes it as "partial 16S ribosomal RNA". It matches the Rfam family "Bacterial small subunit ribosomal RNA", at positions 99 to 334 of the family's 1533-position model. The record is from RNAcentral.